Molecule: ribosomal RNA, 433 nt
Filed under: uncultured bacterium
Lineage: Bacteria
Description: partial 16S ribosomal RNA
Rfam family: Bacterial small subunit ribosomal RNA
Source: RNAcentral
AACGAACGCUGGCGGCAUGCCUAACACAUGCAAGUCGAACGAGACCUUCGGGUCUAGUGGCGCACGGGUGCGUAACGCGCGGGAGCCUGCCCUUUGGUUCGGAAUAACUCCCCGAAAGGGGUGCUAAUACCGGAUAAUGUCUUCGGACGAACGAUUUAUCGCCUUUGGAUGGGCCCGCGUUGGAUUAGCUAGUUGGUAGGGUAAAAGCCUACCAAGGCGACGAUCCAUAGCUGGUCUGAGAGGAUGAUCAGCCACACUGGGACUGAGACACGGCCCAGACUCCUACGGGAGGCAGCAGUGGGGAAUAUUGGACAAUGGGCGAAAGCCUGAUCCAGCAAUGCCGCGUGAGUGAUGAAGGCCUUAGGGUUGUAAAGCUCUUUUACCCGGGAUGAUAAUGACAGUACCGGGAGAAUAAGCUCCGGCUAACUCCGUG